GACGAACGCUGGCGGCGUGCCUAAUACAUGCAAGUCGAACGCAUUUUCUUUCACCGUAGCUUGCUACACCGAAAGAAAAUGAGUGGCGAACGGGUGAGUAACACGUGGGUAACCUGCCCAUCAGCGGGGGAUAACACUUGGAAACAGGUGCUAAUACCGCAUAAUUCCAUUUACCGCAUGGUAGAUGGGUGAAAGGCGCUUUUGCGUCACUGAUGGAUGGACCCGCGGUGCAUUAGCUAGUUGGUGGGGUAACGGCCUACCAAGGCUGCGAUGCAUAGCCGACCUGAGAGGGUGAUCGGCCACACUGGGACUGAGACACGGCCCAGACUCCUACGGGAGGCAGCAGUAGGGAAUCUUCGGCAAUGGACGCAAGUCUGACCGAGCAACGCCGCGUGAGUGAAGAAGGUUUUCGCAUCGUAAAACUCUGUUGUUAGAGAAGAACAAGGAUGAGAGUGGAAAGUUCAUCCCUUGACGGUAUCUAACCAGAAAGCCACGGCUAACUACGUG
RNAcentral lists this ribosomal RNA (507 nucleotides) under uncultured bacterium. RNAcentral's name for it is "partial 16S ribosomal RNA". It matches the Rfam family "Bacterial small subunit ribosomal RNA", at positions 28 to 507 of the family's 1533-position model. The record is from RNAcentral.